This 479-nucleotide ribosomal RNA is filed under the name uncultured bacterium. Its description in RNAcentral is "SSU rRNA". It matches the Rfam family "Bacterial small subunit ribosomal RNA", at positions 26 to 518 of the family's 1533-position model. The record is from RNAcentral.
AGAAUCAACGCUGGCGGCGUGCCUAACACAUGCAAGUCGAACGAGAAAGGGGAGCAAUCCCUGAGUAAAGUGGCGACCGGGUGAGUAACACGUGACUAACCUACCUUCGAGUGGGGGAUAACUCCGGGAAACCGGGGCUAAUACCGCAUAACAUCCUUGGAUCGGAAGAACUGGGGAUCAAAGGAGCAAUUCGCUUGAAGAGGGAGUCGCGGCUGAUUAGCUUGUUGGCGGGUAAUGGCCCACAAGGCGAUGAUCGGUAUCCGGCCUGAGAGGGGCGCGACGGACGACGACCUGGAACUGAAACACGGUCCAGACUCCUACGGGAGGCAGCAGUGGGGAAUUUUGCGCAAUGGGGGAAACCCUGACGCAGCAACGCCGCGUGGAGGAUGAAGUCCCUUGGGACGUAAACUCCUUUCGACCGGGACGAUAAUGACGGUACCGGUGGAAGAAGCCCCGGCUAACUUCGUGCCAGCAGCCGC